UGUCCUCAUCCAUUACUCCUACGGGAGGCAGCAGUGAGGAAUCUUCCACAAUGGACGAAAGUCUGAUGGAGCAACGCCGCGUGCAGGAUGAAGGCUUUCGGGUCGUAAACUGCUUUUGUUAGCGAAGAAUAUGACGGUAACUAACGAUAGGGAUCGGCUAACUACGUGCCAGCAGCCGCGGUAAUAAC
This 188-nucleotide ribosomal RNA is filed under the name uncultured bacterium. RNAcentral's name for it is "partial 16S ribosomal RNA". It matches the Rfam family "Bacterial small subunit ribosomal RNA", at positions 320 to 526 of the family's 1533-position model. The record is from RNAcentral.